AACACAUGCAAGUCGACGGAUGAGAAGAGCUUGCUCUUCGAUUCAGCGGCGGACGGGUGAGUAAUACCUAGGAAUCUGCCUGGUAGUGGGGGACAACGUUUCGAAAGGAACGCUAAUACCGCAUACGUCCUACGGGAGAAAGCAGGGGACCUUCGGGCCUUGCGCUAUCAGAUGAGCCUAGGUCGGAUUAGCUAGUUGGUGAGGUAAUGGCUCACCAAGGCUACGAUCCGUAACUGGUCUGAGAGGAUGAUCAGUCACACUGGAACUGAGACACGGUCCAGACUCCUACGGGAGGCAGCAGUGGGGAAUAUUGGACAAUGGGCGAAAGCCUGAUCCAGCCAUGCCGCGUGUGUGAAGAAGGUCUUCGGAUUGUAAAGCACUUUAAGUUGGGAGGAAGGGCAGUAAGCGAAUACCUUGCUGUUUUGACGUUACCGACAGAAUAAGCACCGGCUAACUCUGUGCCAGCAGCCGCGGUAAUACAGAGGGUGCAAGCGUUAAUCGGAAUUACUGGGCGUAAAGCGCGCGUAGGUGGUUCGUUAAGUUGGAUGUGAAAUCCCCGGGCUCAACCUGGGAACUGCAUCCAAAACUGGCGAGCU
This 596-nucleotide ribosomal RNA is filed under the name Pseudomonas putida. RNAcentral's name for it is "bacterial SSU rRNA". It matches the Rfam family "Bacterial small subunit ribosomal RNA", at positions 50 to 642 of the family's 1533-position model. Lineage: Bacteria; Pseudomonadati; Pseudomonadota; Gammaproteobacteria; Pseudomonadales; Pseudomonadaceae. The record is from RNAcentral.